GGUGUACUCCCCCCGUCCGGAAAAGCUUGUCCCUCAAAUAAAUGUAUCUAGCAUCAAGUUAGUGCUAAAUACAUCCAUUUGAGGAACAAGCUUGGGACAAGUUUUCUCGGAUGGAGGGAGUACAAU
Triticum aestivum (bread wheat) is the source of this 126-nucleotide non-coding RNA. The record is from Rfam. NCBI's taxonomy places the organism in Eukaryota, Viridiplantae, Streptophyta, Magnoliopsida, Poales, Poaceae.